UCCCGGCAGUCCAAGUUGCAUCCCAUUAUUGGGUCUAAAACAUCCGUAGCUCGUUUGUUAAGUCUCUUGUGAAAUCCCGUGUCUCAAGCGCGGGGCGUGCGGGAGGUACUGGCGAACUAGAGAUCGGUAGACGUAAGGAGUACGCUGGAGGUAGUGGUUAAAUACGUUAAUCUUCGGUGGACUAACAAUUUAGCGAAGGCACCUUACGAGGACGAGUCUGACAGUGAGGGAUGAAGGCCAGGGGC
This 245-nucleotide ribosomal RNA is filed under the name uncultured archaeon. Its description in RNAcentral is "partial 16S ribosomal RNA". It matches the Rfam family "Archaeal small subunit ribosomal RNA", at positions 474 to 718 of the family's 1478-position model. The record is from RNAcentral.